Molecule: long non-coding RNA, 704 nt
Organism: Vigna radiata var. radiata (mung bean)
Lineage: Eukaryota; Viridiplantae; Streptophyta; Magnoliopsida; Fabales; Fabaceae
Exons: 3
Source: RefSeq, a predicted model, not a curated record
UCUCUCUCUUUUGAAUUUCAGAACACAAACACAUGCGACUACACGUUAUUUCCUUUUGCAUCAGAUUCAUCAAAACACUAACCAAUCCUCAUUUUUCCUCUCAGAUUGAACCUCAAUGUUAACUCCUCAUACCCUUUCUGCAUUCUCAUCUUUGCUUCACACACUCAGUCACCAUUUUGCCUAUCAUGCUUCAAACAGCCACCUUCAUGAAACCCUACAUAACCAAUCCCUAUAUCCUACGUUCUCUUACUUAAUCACUUUAGUUUGUUGAAAAAACAAAAGGAAAAAAGAAAAUCUCCCUUCACACUUCUAUAUACAAAUUUGCAGGCUACUGUUACAGUUUUGUUAAUUUCGUAGCUGACAUGAGACCUAAAGAUGCGAUGGACCUCCAUGGCUGAAUGAACCAACUGCGCUGCAAACCACGUUCAGCAGUGGAACCAGUGAGUGUCAUCGUCCACUGCUUGACUCCUUGCACCUCUGAAUUCGAAGGCCACUGUUAGCCGCUAUCAUUGCUCCGCACCUCGUUGUUGCCAUCGCAUUACUUUCGUUGCUCAAUGUCGUCGUCGCUCUUCAUUCCUCUUCAUUGUUGUGCAUUAUAGUGAGAUUAUUAAUAUUUCUCCAAAACGUGGUAUCCAUCCUUCUUCAUUAUUGUUCGACUUUCACACUUCCAGGUUCCUAUUAUUAUCUUGAAAAUUUAUUUUUAA